RNAcentral lists this transfer RNA (72 nucleotides) under Camelus bactrianus (Bactrian camel). It matches the Rfam family "tRNA". From Rfam's summary of the family: Transfer RNA (tRNA) molecules are approximately 80 nucleotides in length. Their secondary structure includes four short double-helical elements and three loops (D, anti-codon, and T loops). Lineage: Eukaryota; Metazoa; Chordata; Mammalia; Artiodactyla; Camelidae. The record is from Rfam by way of RNAcentral. RNAcentral also lists the same sequence under 1 other name.
GAGGGUAUAGCUCAGAGGUAGAGUGUGUGCUUAGCGUGCAGGAGGUUCUAGGUUCAAUCCCCAGUAUCGCCA